Molecule: unclassified non-coding RNA, 283 nt
Filed under: Hevea brasiliensis (rubber tree)
Lineage: Eukaryota; Viridiplantae; Streptophyta; Magnoliopsida; Malpighiales; Euphorbiaceae
Source: RNAcentral
GGCUGAGCCUGGCGGAUAACUGGCUGGUGGACGACGGAGAAACAGUGGUGAAUCCAUUGUUCUCGGUGAAGAAGCACAUGAACAUCCUUAAUACAAAGUGUUUAGCUCACGUGAGCUCAGGUACAACUGGCAGUGGUAGUAAUGGAAAAAAUAUCGUGUACGAAAUAGAGGGAUCAUACUCCCAACGAAGCUGCGCGGUGUACGACGAGAACAGAAGGAGGGUGGCAGAGAUCAAACAGAAGGAGGCAGUGGGCGGUGUGGCUUUUGGAGUCGACGUGUUCCG